UUGAGCCCAACUCUGUGUCCUGGAGCAAGUUUUUGACAGUGGAUAUGAGACCAUUGGCACUCACUGGUGUUCGGUUUGACAAUGAUAUGGGUGCCACCUUCUUCAUUGACGAGGAUGAGAAAGUCGCUGUGGUUUUCGAUCUAGACGGAUACCUAAGCACCGAGAGCGCUCGUUACCACACCGCUUUUAUCAGUGGAAAGGAUGGAUUCUUUAAACCUGUGACUCUAGGAGUAGCUCCCAAUGUCGGGGAACCUUGUCCCAGAACCGGGCAUAUUCCGACUACAUAUCGUCCCCCGCUUGUCUGCUCGUCUACUUACCUUCCGAGUUUAGUGCAAGUCAACCAACAGCGCAAAAGGAAAGAAAGACAUGUUUAGUUUUCUGUUCCUUGCAGUUCUCAAGACUGCUAGUCAAUUCUCAGUUACAUUUCCAUGUUAUCUUUCUCCUCUUUUAGUUUCUCUUCUCAAACUUACUCUUGUCAUGGUUUAAGUUUCUUACUUUUCGUCAGUGAGAUGGUUAGGUACCUUAUUUGUUUCUUGCAUUGUCGUCUGCUAGUAAAUUUAUCAAAGCAUUGUUCUAGUCACUUGUUCACUUGCACCAUCCUUAAGCAAAGCAUGACAUGGUUUCAUGUACUGUUAGCCCAAUUAUGGAGUACAUAUCUCAUAUAAGUUAGUCUGUUUCUGCGUUUACUUCUAAGUUAGUCCCAAUUAUGGAGUACAUAUCUCAUACAUAUCUUAUAUAUACGAAAAGUGAUAUCUGAUCUCAUCUCAUGUAUGUUGUGUUUCUUACACCAUUAUGAAUACUAUCUGGCCUUUACAGGUUCGUCCUGUAGUGAAAGAAGUACUAGACACAUUUUGGGUAGGUGCUUAGCUAGGAACCAAAUAAAAACUGAAAGACCCUCGGCAAUUUUUGUCGCUAGGCAUGCUUAAAUAACCAUAGCUUUCUGCUUUCCACAUUUCACAAAUUAAGUAAAAGUGGAGGAACAAGUCGAAUUUUUAUGAUAGAAACAAUGGGAAGAUGGCAAGGAACAUUUUGCAUUGGCAAAUAUUAUUACAGGGAGGCACUAUUCGAACACAGCAGAUUUUCUCAUUCAGGCUAGUCUACGUCAGCUUCUCGGAAUCCUUUUUCUCUACGAUUUUGAUGAAAUUGCGGACAAUUGUCUUGCCCUCAGUUGUUAUAAUACUCUCCGGAUGAAAUUGAACUCCCUGUGAACAAUGUUUACAAGACUUCAAGAGUUCUGUUUUGAAUGGAGGGGGCAAUAAGAUUACAGUACACACUUGUGCGGGUUUUACCUGUAUAUGCUUGUACUUUCUGUGACGGGCAGCCAUAACCAGACCAUCUUCUGUCCAUGCUGUAACCUCGAGCUCAUCACUAGGAAAUGUAUCUUUUUCGAUCACGAGACUGUGAUAUCUACCUACAAUGAAAGGGCUGAAACCAACCAGAUUUGUUUUAUUACACAUUUUUACAGACUUAUGAUUAACUAUAUUAGACAACACACAAAAAAAAUUGAUUUUGAUUCAUACUUUGAUAAUCCAGAGAACAAGCCUUCUUCUCCUUUCUCAUCAUAGUGAACCAUUGAGCUUUUCCCAUGCAUAACACCAAAUGGUGACCGCACAAUCUUUCCUAAUCAAUGUUCAAACAAAAUUGCAUUUAAGCUGUGGAUGCAUAGAAUAAAGAACAAAACCAUGUUUGAACACUGAUACGGGAAAAUAAGAUGUCUUGUUUAUAUGCAACUAACCUCCAAAUGCUUCUCCUAUACACUGCAAACCCAUACAUACUCCAAAUAAAGGAACAAGUGGUCCGAGUUCCAAAACAGUUUGCAAGGAAAUCCCAGAGUCUUGAGGGGUACCUAUCAAAUUCAAGAAAAGUGUUAUCCACUUCUCCAGCAUAUAAUUAUAGGAGAAAUUUCAGAGGCCAAAAUAUUUACCAGGUCCAGGAGAAAUCAACACUCCUCUUGGAUUUUUUCUGCAAGAGGGAGAGAAUGAUAAAGGAAUGAACAUCAGUCGAUUAGCCAGAUUACGUUUUAAACAGAAUGCAUAUAGUUUCUUCUUACCUUUUCAGCUCUUCUACUGUAAGUUCAUCAUUGCGGUAAACUUCAAAAUGGCAUUGUAGCUCUCCCAUAUACUGUAGAAAUAGAUAGCAAUUCUCAAAAUUUUGUUUAUACUAAAGCAGAAGAAACCAUAUCAAGAGAACGAUCACAAUAAAUAGUAUGCACCUGACACUAUUCUGCGUGGAGAACUAGAAGUAAGACAUGAUCAAAUUGUAUAUUUGGUAUCUAUGUGCGUUAAGUCAGAUAUUCAGAGCAGCCAAAAUCUCAUGAGAAAGCGAGAUAUUUCAACUAGGAAUAACAAAUCUAAAGUCAAAAAUAGCAACUCAGGAAAUCGCCAAUUCAAACUUUGAACAUGAUUAAAGAUUCUACUUAAAAGACCAGACUUUAGGCAGCAAAGAAGUGAUGUGUUAGCUUUUGCUGGAUCAACAAUUACUCCUUACAACGACAAACAAGCAACGAGGAGCUUUCGACAAUAAGAUUCGAUGGCACGACAUAGCAACGACUCUGAUCACAUUAACAACAGAUGGUCAACAUUACAUAGUCUUAUCUAUUAGCAAGUCGAAAGUAGAUUGGAUUGUGAACUAAUGAGAUUCUAACAUUCAAUCACAAUGCAUAUACUUGAAUACAUUUCUAACAAAAUGCAAAUUCAGCUGCUUUCACAUCAAAAAUCUAACGAGCCUAGUAAGAUUUGAGAUUGUGUUAGAAAUGAAACCUGGCAGAGAUUGUAAGUGAAGCUGUCGUAAUUAUCAAUCACGAUGAUAGGACCAUUCUGUUUAGAGGAAUUGAUAACAACGGAAGGUAUCGAAUUCGAUUCUGCCAUUUCAAUAGAAGCUUCAGCAAAUGUACAUCUCUACGACUCUUCCCCAAAACUGAAAACUCCUAUAUCACAGAAGUAUAUUUGGGAUCUAAGUGAGAUAUUCAGAGCAGCCAACAAGGAAUAACCCAAUCUAACAAUAGCAACUCAGAAAAUCACCAAUUUUCAAACUUUAAACAAGAUAAAAGACUUAAAAGACCAGACUGUAGGCAGCUAAGAAGUAAUGUAUUAGCUAUUGCUGAAUCAAAAAUUACUCCUGGCAAGGACAAAGAAGCAAGGAGGAGCUUUUUCAAAUAUAUACAAAACCAAAAAAAAUUACUCAUCUAGAGAACUAGUCUUACGUGAAUAAGAUUCGAUGGUGCCGCAUAACGACUCAGUCUGAUCACAUAACAAGAGAGAAAUUACAUUACAUAGUCUUGUAUAUAAGCAAGUCGAGACUAGAUUGAUUGUGAAAUAAAGAGAUUCUAACAAUCAAUCGAGAUGCAUACUUGAAUACAAUUCAUAUGAAUCAAGGACUUGCAAUUAGCCAGGACCCUAAUUGAUUAAGACAUGGUUGACCAAAAAAACAAAACUAUUAGAAAUUAUGGUCAAAGUAGUAGCUACAGAGAUUAGAAAUCUAUUCCAAUGGUCUUAGCUCUAACGUCAACAAAGGUUUAAUCAUCCCCUAAACUUCAAGUUUCAACUUAGUCCGAAUCAGGAGAAAGACUAUGAGGGAAGUUAUUUGGACAAAUGGUUUAAUGCUCUACUAAAGGGGAAUCGAUCAGAUUCUAAUUGUAACAUUUUGGGUACCUGGAGGUUGAAGAUCCUUCGAAGAACGAAGUGAGCCGCCUCGCGAACAUUCUGUUCAGGUGAUGUUGACCCGACUCGCUGAUUCGACCCGGAGCUGGUUUUGAAACGGUCAAGGAUAUAAGUGGCGCUGGAUUGAUGAGGAAAUCGCUAUCAAUUGAGAUAGACUGCGAAUAGUACGAGAACACCAUCAUUUUGGAUGCUUUGACGCAGAUUCAUUCAUGGCUUCUAGGUCUUUUAUUACUUCAUUAGUUGUUGACUUAAAGAAAUAUAUCUAAGUAACGUUUAAUGAUGUGGGGGAUAUUAAGCAGCCAGGUUUUACACUCAGCUAUAGUCAUCUUUUCGUAUAAGCAUCUAAUUCGACAAAUGUAUAGUAUAGUCAUCUUUUCGUAUAAGCAUAUAUAGUAUAGUCAUCGUAUAAGCAUAUAUACCGUUUUCAAUUUAAUGGUCACACGAUCCUUUCUGAAAAAAAAAAGAAAAUUAUCAUUAAACAAGCUUCUGAUCAACAAAAUAAUAUCCCAAAAAGGUGGAUUAAAUUUUUGUUUUCUUCAUAGACAUAAGGAAAUUAACUUUAUAGUCUGACCAUUGAUUAACUUUCAGCAAUGUGCACAACUGCCAUUUUGAUAACACCAUAGUUUAAGAUGCCAAAAAAACAAAGGAAGAUGGAGCGAGAAAGAUGAAUUACGCUAUAGGAAUUGAUUUUCCUCUUAAGUGCUCAAGUCUCACUUUAAAUUCAACUAUCACGGAUGAGCCAAAUGCCCAGCCCUAAACAAAAAGAUUAACUUAGUAAUUGAUACCUUGUAGAAAGACAAACCGUGAGAUCAGUGAAAGUGGUAAGUUGCCUGGAUAUCACGAAAGUGUCAAGACUCUUCUCUUCACCAUCUUUAAUCAUAUCUUCCAUCAUAUGAAUCUUCAGCAUCUUGAAUUGACGAUCGAAGACAGGCUUGUAGAGAUGACUCAAACGUGUACCACAAUGGCCUCAUAAUAUAGAUGCAAGAUUAUUAUGAUUGAAUGACGAUUCUUCGGAUGCAUAUGUAGGAAUAAACACUGCGUCAUACGAGUUCUCAUAACCAUCAAUUCACUUUCGAAUAGAAAUGGUAAAUUUUCAUUACAAACUGAUCCAAGCACUUCAAGACCUAAUGAGAACAAAGUAAAUCAACACAAAGACAGUGUCCGGACUUUUGAUAGGAUUUAUUUUUUAAAAGGUAUUUCGCAUAUAAACUUCUUAACAUAGAUCUCUACAUAUAUAGACAAAAUGAAAUAAAUACAAAGAUGUGCUUCAUAAGUUCUCAACAAAGCCCAAGUAAUCUCCACAAUAAGGCUUAUUUAUAAGUCCUCUAAUCUGAGUGACUUCAAUGAUUCUUCCAGCCCAAAACAAGGCUUCUCUCCUCCAGAAAAAUAAUUAGGAUUAUUAUAUUAUUAUUUGUUUUGUUUCCUCGAAUAAAAAAGAGAAUCCGAGAACUUUUUAAGACAAAAGCCAAGUCUUCGAAACCUUAUGAGAUGUGAUAGGGUUACAAGGGUAAAACAGGAACUCAGAAUAAAAAUAAGUUAAUCGAGAAAGCUCCAAAUAAACACCACUCGUCCGCCUCUCUGUCUCUCACCAAAAUAAAAAACUCAAUCUCUCUCUCUCUCUCUCCAUCGAGAAACACUAAACUGCUAUAAUCAUUACCUCUCUUCGAUUUCUCAAACCCUAUCUGGCUCUCUACCCAUAUGCUUCAGAUCCGCAUUAAAAAAGCUAAGUUUUUUGUUAUGUCCUUCUUUCUUAUUUGAUCAGUUUGUUCUUGUUUCACGAUUUUAACCUGAGAUUUUUUAUAUAUUUUCUCCAGAUCUGCUAUCCGCAGUCAUCUGUUCAUAGGAAAAGGCAAGUUUUUUUUCCAUCUCUACUUCAGAUCUGAAAAAGAUGGAUUGUUCUUCUUGUGUUGUCCGGUUUCAUCAAUUUAAUCUGUUCUUUGUUAUUAUAUUUUACAGAUCUGGCUUUACUUUUAGAGAUUAUCUCAGAUCCAGCCUUUUACCCAAUUGAAGGCAAGUUCACAUACUCUGUUUUUUUUGUCUUGGUUUUAAUUUCUCGGUUUUUUACAUGUAACAGAUGUUUUAAGCAUGAUUUUUUGUUUAAACAGUUUGUUUUUCCUACCCUUAAAACUUCUCUGAAUUAAUAUCCCAUUUAUAUGACCACUCUAAUGUCUUCUUAUACGACUACGCAAGUGUUGCAUAUUCUUGACCUUUUCACACUUCAUUUGCAUUUUAGUCUAACAAUAUAAAUCCGCAAAUAUCUUGUGUUUAUACUUAUUGAAAUUAGUCUUCCGACAUAUAUAAUCUAGGAUCUAUUUGGAUUAUUUGGGCCAUCAGUCUCAUUCGUUUCAUUAACAUCUGAGUCUUUGAACUUUGUUUAUCUUUCCUAGCUUGAUAUUUUAAUAUUAGUUUUUUUGCGCCUCUUUGUUUUUGAUCAUUUAUUCUCUCAAUUGGAUAGUAUAGUGAAGUAAAUAAUGUAGCUAUGACUUUACCUGUAGCAUUUACCUGUAGCAUCUUAAAAAUAUGAAUUAAAAAUGAUUUAGCUAAUUUGGGCUUAUGUUUAUAAGCAUAGAAGUUUAUACUACAAGUUCGUUUAGAUUUUUCCAGUAUCAACUCAAACAUAGUUUUUACUCAAGCAUAGUUUUUACUCAAGCAUAGUUUUUACUCACACUAAAACCCACAUGUAGUGUGCAAAAGUAAGUACCCCCCCACCUCUGUUCCUCACGGUUUUUCUGCAAAGGACCCACCCUCCUUGAACUUCAGCGUCCAUCACAAUGUCCCCAUCAUCAUCAAACCUGUACAAGCCAGUGGCGAUCCUAACAUUGUAGAAGUUGAUAGCAUUUUUGCAAGUGGAGGGAGCACUUGUGUUUCUCCACGUAUUGCUGUCUUGAUUAAAGCGGUUGUCAACUCUGUAAAGUCCCUCUACUUCAAUAGGUAUGGUAAAUGAGUUUGAUUCUGGGAAUAGGUUGUGGUUGUUAUAAAGAAUGCUCCACUCAGCAGCGUUGAGCCAGCGCUGUGUUGAUGUUUGAAGCACAGCUGCUACAUCUGUCAAAAAUAGCAACCAAACAUAUGAGAUUUAUAUAUAUAUUAUAAGCAACUGUUUUAUUCUGAAAUUUUUAAAUCUUGCCUUAAUUGUACAAAUUCCAUAGAUCUAGGAGACUAUUCUAAGAUUCCAUAGAUCUGUAACACUGUGCUACGAUUUCUACACUGUUCUAAGAUUCCAUAGAUCUGUAACACUGUACUACGAUUUCUACACUGUUCUAAGAUUCCAUAGAUCAUAACUUUUCUAAGAUUUCUACACUGUUACCAAUUCCAUAGAUUGUAGCCUCGAUUUCCCAAAUUCACAGAUCUACUCUAAUUUUAAAUACAUUCCUCCAAUUCCCAAACUCACCAAUGUUUCUUGAUACUUUCAAUUUCAAUUUCUUUAUUACCCCAAAUUCGCUACCCCUAUAUCUUGCUUCUGAGAAUAUAAUCGUUUUUUAUUACCUUCAUUUCCUUCAGGUAGGUCCAUAUGCUGAAGAUUUAUCGCAGGAGCGACCACUACGGGAGCCGCCAUUGGAGAUUCUCUGUGAGAGAGAGAGAGAGAAAUAGUUUGAGAAUCAAUCUUCUGUAUUUUAUUGUGUAGAUCAAGUUAUUUAGUAUAUGCUAGUACUUAUGGUUAAAAUAGACUAUUAUUAAAAUUCAAAAGUAAUAAAGCCAACGAGUACACUAAACUCAGAUUAUAUUUUCCAAAACUAUUGCUAAAGAAUAUCAAUACGUACACUAGAUAUAGAAAUCGGAAUUAGGUACGUUGUGAUCCAUUUCAGCUACUGUUAGGGGUAAGAUUUGGGCUUGCUUGGCCCAAGGCCCAAAUCCAAGUCAAAGGCCUAAGCAGAAUGUUAAGUCAAGAGGGUAGGCUCGUCAAAAUCCUGGAGGAGUGUCCUACACGCAGAAGGCUAUAAAUACGGAAUAGCAUGUCUUGUCAAAGGGGGAUUCCGCCGGACACGCAGAGACACAGAGCAGCUCGUCAGCUCACCCGUCCGAAGUAUCCCGCCAGCCGGUCCGUCUCAAGCAGCUCGUCAGCUCACCCGUCUCAAGCAGCUCGUCAGCUCUCCCCUCCGAAGUAUCCCGCCAGCCGGUCCGUAUCAAGCAGCUCGUCAGCUCACCCGUCUCAAGCAGCUCGUCAGCUCUCCCCUCCGAAGUAUCCCGCCAGCCGGUCCGUCUCAAACAGCUCGUCAGCUCACCCGUCUCAAGCAGCUCGUCAGCUCACCCGUCCGAAGUAUCCCGCCAGCCGGUCCGUCUCAAGCAGCUCGUCAGCUCACCCGUCUCAAGCAGAUCGUCAGCUCACCCGUCUCAAGCAGCUCGUCAGCUCUCCCCUCCGAAGUAUCCCGCCAGCCGGUCCGUCUCAAGCAGCUCGUCAGCUCACCCGUCUCAAUCAGCUCGUCAGCUCUCCCCUCCGAAGUAUCCCGCCAGCCGGUCCGUCUCAAACAGCUCGUCAGCUCACCCGUCCGAAGUAUCCCGCCAGCCGGUUCGUCUCAAGCAGCUCGUCAGCUCACCCGUCUCAAGCAGCUCGUCAGCUCACCCGUCUCAAGCAGCUCGUCAGCUCACCCGUCUCAAGCAGCUCGUCAGCUCACCCGUAUCAAGCAGCUCGUCAGCUCACCCGUCCAAAGUACCUCGUCUGCCCAUCCAUCUUGAGUAACUCGUUUACUCGUCCGUCCGAAGUGUCUCUCCGACCUGCCCGCCCAAAAUAACUAACCUACUCGCACGUCUCGAGAAGCCAUCCAGCUCGUCGCACAUCUGCCGGCUCGUCAAUUACCUGCCGACCUUCCUCCAAUAAUGGCCUAGCUCGUUUAUCACAAUAUGAACUACGUGUGGCUUGAUCCCUUUCUAAGGGUACGUAGGCAACCUUUUACAAGGUUCAGCUAUAAAACGAAUAAACUCUAUUCUUCCUCGGAAGAUCGUCUUCCGGCCUCAAGCUCGUCUUUCAUCUACAAUCGGCUCGUUCUUACUCCAUUUAUGCUCGUUGAAGAAAUCAUCAUUUGUAAUCCGUCCAAUCCGCCUAAGUCGCGGGCUCGUCAUUAAUAGAAAGAUUCUUCUUCCUUCCCUAGAGAUCCCAUUUUCGUACUUGUGUGAUUCGUGCAUCAACAGCUACCAUAAACUAUUAAUUGUAGUGAGUAAGUGGACUUUAGAUUCAUAUAGAGUUAUGCGAUUCGGUUGAACGUAUCAUACGAAUCUCAGUGUCUACCUAAUUAAUACACAUAUAAUGCAAAAAGAACAAACGCAUACUAUAGAUGAUAAGACGUGAUUGGACACAUUAAACACAUAGUUUACGGCAUUACAUAAACCGAUACACAUAAUUAAUUACGUGUUACUUCUGUGGCGUGUAGUAGAAAGACUAGCUGCAUAUGGCACCUAAUUAAUACUCAUAUAUGGUUCAUGCGAAAUGCUGAUAUGUAUAAGGUAAUAUAUACCACCACUUUGGUACCACAAUGCAACAUCUAAAUUCGAUUAUGAUAAGCUAUGAUAAGCUAUCUUCUCAAUAUCAAUUAAUCGCUUCUUUAUUCUAAUACCACUCCUUAAUAUAUGCCUAUCAUAUCAUUAUUUCACAACGCAUGUUUACUUUUGUUAUGAAAUAGUUUUGUUUAAAGGGUGGUAACGUAAUUUAUGGGUUCCAUUAGGAUUGUGAUUUAUUUUCUCUCCUCAUCCUUAUGCAUGUAAGAAUUUGCAUUUUUAUAAAUAUAUACUAUGAAUUCAGUCCAACCUUACAGUGUGAACAAUUUAAUUAAACGAAGCAUAAUCCUUAAAAAAAUAAAACUAAAAAAAUUUAGUUAAGAUGGUAUAAGAUAAUUUUAUUAAGUUAAGAUGUUGCACUUUUCACUAAGUAAAUCAAACAUUUACAUAGUGAUUUGUCAUAAUGUGCAUAUUCCAUUUUUUUCGGGUCUUUCAUUUCCAUAUUCCUCAGCUCUUUCAUAUAUUGAAGAUUGAAGAGAAUAAGAAAGACGCUUUUUAUAGGAAACGAAUUAAAGAGUGUUGACUUGCCGUAAAAGUAACUUAAAUUGUUCGUCGCCUGAGCAUGGAUUUAUAUAAACGUGAAGUACUAUACAAAACCCUAACCAACAUUUGAUCAAACGACAAUGAUGUCGGAACUUCCAGAGCAUUUGUUAGAAGAGAUACUCUACCGCGUUCCAGCUAUGUCUUUGAAACAGUUAGGGUCUACUUGCAAAGGAUGGAACUGUUUAUUCAAGGAUAGGAGAUUCACAAGAAAACACUUGGAUAAAGGCCCAAAGCAGUUUCUGAUUCACAUGUCUAAAGGGCUUAGGGUACGCUCGAUGAGUGUCGAUCUCCAUAGACUUCCACAUGUAAAGGUCACAGUUGAAUUUACCCUAAUCAACCCUAAAUAUCCUAGUUGUCUAGAUCAAGAUCAAUUCGAGAUAUAUAAAGUCUCUCACUGCGACGGCUUAUUGUUAUGCGUCUGCGUCACCAAGGAGGACAAUACUUGGCUCGCGGUAUGGAACCCGUGUACUGGUCAAACAAGGUGGAUUCAACCCAUGACUUAUAUGACAACUAUACUCUCGGAUCCUACCAAAAUAAUAGCUACAAUAUAUUGGCACACACUGGUUUUGGCUACGACCACGAAUUCCAAAUUUAUGAAAUUAACUCCAAUUCAUGGAGGAUUAUUGAUGCCACUUUGGACUUCAAAUUAGGGUAUAUUGGUCGUGGCGUGUCUUUGAAGGGAAAGACUUACUGGAUUGCUAGUGGUGAAGAAGAGAAACGGCUUGGCAAAUUCUUAAUCAGUUUUGAUUAUACGACAGAAAGAUUUGAACGUCUAUGUCUUCCGAAUAAGUAUCCUUGUUAUGCAACUCUGGCUCUAUCCGUUGUUAGAGAAGAGAAACUUUCCAUGUUAUCGCAACGCGGAAUUAAAUCAAAGGCAGAAAUAUGGGUGACAAAUAAGAUUGGUGAGACACAAGUGGUGUCGUGGAGCAUGGUCUUAGCUUUGGAUUUGCAGCCUAAACGUUGUAUUGGGGAAAGCGGAAGUUUCUUGGUCGACGAGAAGAAGAGAGUGGUCGUGUGUUGUGAUAAUAUUAGAGACCAAGGAAAAACCACGGUACACAUUUUUGGAGAGGACAACAAAGUGAAACAAGUGGGUUUUGAAGUCGGAUCAUCUCUGUAAUGUAUGUUUUAUUAUGUUCCAAGUUUGACUCAAAUCUACCAAGGUAUCACAGGCAAAAGAAAAAGGGACGAAUGAUCAUAGUGUUUGGUGUGGAUCUUGGAGCAACUAUCAGAUUUUUCAAUUAUGAUAAGUUUUCUUCUCAAUUUCAAUUAAUCGCUUCUUUAUGCCAUAAUUUAGAGGCAAUUGCUGUAAUAUUUCUAAAUUUUUUAGGCAUUCUUUACUUUGUACUUCUCCUUUUAAUUAUAUAGGUAGAUUUGAUGAUAAUUAGAAGAUUAAGACUUCAAAAAUGGAGAUUAUGUGAAAUUGAGAAAAGCAUCACACAAAGAAAAUGGUUUUUGGUGGAACAAUUGGGAUAUUUGCAUAACAUGAAUUUUGAUUCCGGUUUACUAUACAUUAUUUGUUUCUUGAUUCCGGUUUAGUAUAUCCUAGUACUUACUUAAAUCAAUAAUCCGGGCAUGGUUAAAAUUAAUCAGACGUUGAAUCAAUGAGACUCCCCGUCACCGUCAAAGCCACUAAGCCGUCGUUUCUCGUCAUUUGGAUCCGAUACUCCUCCGCCGCGUCGUCGCCGACAGUCUCCUUGAAUCCAGUAAACCUCUCUCCCGCACACGCUUACAUGUAUAUGCGACUUUAUUAUCCAUUGGAAUCAUUUUGAGUGUGUUUUUUUUGUCUUGGGGUUCAAUACUGUAGAGUGGACGAUUACAGCAAACUCUCGCAGGAUCUGUGGAAGUGAAAGGAAAAUCUCUGCACUCCGGUAAGUUCUCGACGGUGAAGCUAAAUCCGGAGAUCGCCGGAGCUGGUAGGUUCUUCGAGUUUCGAUCCAGAUUCAUCCCUGCGUCGAUUGAAUUUGCUCAGGAAUCGCCUCUUUGCACGACGCUGUUGAAAGAUGAGCUCAAAAUCCGAACCGUUGAGCAUUUGUUAUCAGCUCUUGAGGCGAAGGGAGUUGAUAAUUGCAGGAUUCAAAUCGAGAGCGAAAGUUCCGAUGAUCGAGAAGUCGAGGUUUGUUACCUGAAUACAUACAUUUUGAGUAAUCAUAGGUCGAAUCAAUGUCUCGUAUUGUCUAUUUUGACUGGAUUUGUAUGCUAUAGAGAUUGUCAACAUCUUGCUGUGCAGUGUAGCUCUUAGUUUUAUAGACUUGGUACACUGGAGGAGAUGAUGAGUGUAGGCAACACUAACCAAGUGACAGGUCCCUAUUUUUGAUGGAUCAGCUAAAGAAUGGGUCGAUGCGAUACAAGGAGUUGGCAUAAACGCGGCUCAAAACCAUGAUGGUGAAAGUGUAGAGAAGAUGGUCGCACAUGUGAACAAGCCUGUGUAUGUUUGCAAGAACGAUACUUUUGUUGCUGCAUUUCCGGCUCUAGAGACUCGGAUCACUUGUGGUAUCGACUUCCCACAGGUUCAGUCUAAUGGCAUUUUGACUUAUUUUCUGCUUGUACAUAAAUUGUUAUUGACUUGGUCUGUUGUGUAUGAUGAUGAACUUUACAGGUGCCUGCUAUAGGCUGCCAAUGGUUUUCUUGGAGACCUAUCCAUGAGUCUUCUUUUGCAAAGGAUAUCGCAUCAUCAAGAACCUUCUGUGUCUAUGAAGAGGUUAGUUAGAUCCAUUGUUGUUGCUUAGGAGCUUUGGAAUCAGUAAACUGGUGUUCGUUCUUCAACCAUCUGUGUCUGAGGGUUUUGUUUGCAGGUGGAGCGUAUGCGUGAAGCAGGGCUCAUUAAAGGAGGUUCUCUGGAUAACGCCAUAGUUUGUAGGUAAAUAAUCUUGCAUAUUGAUGACUAAAGGGACACAAUAUUCAACUGAAACUGUCUCUAAUGCAGCGCUGAGCAUGGAUGGAUGAAUCCUCCUCUGCGGUUUGAUGAUGAAGCAUGUCGACAUAAGAUUCUUGACCUAAUCGGUGACCUCUCCCUUGUUUCACGGGGCGGAAAUGGAGGACUCCCCGUGGCUCACAUAGUCGCAUAUAAGGUAAAUAAUACUAGCUUAACAUCUUAUAGUUUGCACAAAAAAGAAAAAAAAAAAACAUCUUAUAGUUUUCUCGAGAAAAGAAAACAAUAGUAUUAUCUUUCAAAUGCAGGCGGGUCAUGCACUGCACACUGACUUAGCACGUCACCUUACCAUGGACUGAAGAGUAUGUGCUCGUUGUCAACCAUAUCCCGCAAAAGCCUUGAUCGUUUCUGUUUCUUUUUGGAUUCGUUAUCCAAAGAUGGUACCAAUGUGGGAUUUUUGUUUGUUCAAUGGAAGAUCAUUACUCUUGUGAAUACAGUAAAAUUUGUAACAUUAAACUAUUUUAGGUACUAAUCAUAGGGACAUUUUAACCGAUCAAACUGUUCCAAAACCAAAUUGAAUUGAAACUUAAGUUGUAGUUCAAUAAUAGUUUUACUCUGUACCAAUUUAACAUAUUGAAACUGAAAAUAAAAGAAAAUGGAACAGAACUAAUAAAAAUAAUAAAAUAAUUUAAAACGAAAAAGAAUUUGACUUGGAUACAUUUUUCACAUUAGGAAAAGGUAAAUUCCUCUCCUUUUUUAUUUUUAUUUUUUUACUCGUAUUUAUAAUUGUUGUACAUUAUAACGUAUUAGGAUACGUAUUAAGAGAGAAGAACCCUAAUUACUUACGAGAGAGGAGAACCCUAAUUUUCAAUUGUGGUCGAAAAUUGGAAGAAUGAGGAGGAGGAGGUGCGAUCUUCAACCGAAGAGAACGAGAAUGUGCGAUCUUCAACCGAAGAGAACGAGUAUGUGCGAUCUUCCACCGAAGCUGGUAGGGGAGAAGAUCCUCACGAGGAUUCCGAUAACAUCUCUGAGAGCGGUGCGAUCCACUUGCAAAUUAUGGAACGCUUUAACCAAAGAUCGGGUUCUGGGUAAAGCAGCGGCGCAGUUUUUGGGGUUUAUGACGAUGGAUUCAAAGGUCUGUUCAGUUAGAUUCCAUCUCCGUCGCAGCAAGGAGGAAGAAGAAGACACGAUGGAUCUAUCUAUAAAGCAGGUAGAUUUGCUUAAUCAAGUCGAGAUAUCUAGGGUGUAUCACUGCGACGGCUUGUUGUUAUGCGUGGCUAAGGACAACUCGAGGGUCGUGGUUUGGAACCCUUAUUUGGGGCAAACAAGAUGGAUCAGACCCAGAACAGAAUCCAACAUAGGAGACAGCUAUGCUCUUGGAUACGACAUCAACCGUAACCACAAAAUCUUGAGGAUGGUGCAGACAAGAAACGUUUCCGUUUACAGGUACGAAAUCUACGACUUGCGCUCUAAUUCAUGGAGGGUUCUCGAGGUCACUCCCAACGGGGAAAUGGACCCUAAUCAUCCCCUCUACGGCGUUUCUGUGAAGGGAAAUACCUACUUUUUUGCGCAUGAGGAUAGCAGCAGUGGUGAAAUUGAUGAAGAUGGCGACAUAAUCGAUCUUGAAGAUUUCUUACUCUGUUUUGAUUUUACAACAGAGACAUUUGGUCUGCGUCUGCCUCUUCCGUUUCACUCUACUAUCGAUGCGACUGUGACCCUCUCUUGUGUUAGAGACCAGCAGCUCGCGGUGCUAUAUCAUAAUGAGGGUCUUCACAGUGAUGAUCGGUUUACCACAGUUGAGUUUUGGGUUACUACUAGUAUUGAGCCCAACUCUGUGUCCUGGAGCAAGUUUUUGACAGUGGAUAUGAGACCAUUGGCACUCACUGGUGUUCGGUUUGACAAUGAUAUGGGUGCCACCUUCUUCAUUGACGAGGAUGAGAAAGUUGCUGUGGUUUUCGAUCUAGACGGAUACCUAAGCACCGAGAGCGCUCGUUACCACACCGCUUUUAUCAGUGGAAAGGAUGGAUUCUUUAAACCUGUGACUCUAGGAGUAGCUCCCAAUGUCGGGGAACCUUGUCCCAGAACCGGGCAUAUUCCGACUACAUAUCGUCCCCCGCUUGUCUGCUCGUCUACUUACCUUCCGAGUUUAGUGCAAGUCAACCAACAGCGCAAAAGGAAAGAAAGACAUGUUUAGUUUUCUGUUCCUUGCAGUUCUCAAGACUGCUAGUCAAUUCUCAGUUACAUUUCCAUGUUAUCUUUCUCCUCUUUUAGUUUCUCUUCUCAAACUUACUCUUGUCAUGGUUUAAGUUUCUUACUUUUCGU
RNAcentral lists this long non-coding RNA (14880 nucleotides) under Arabidopsis thaliana (thale cress). RNAcentral describes it as "long non-coding RNA (ATHA_LNC000388)". Lineage: Eukaryota; Viridiplantae; Streptophyta; Magnoliopsida; Brassicales; Brassicaceae. The record is from RNAcentral.